This 487-nucleotide ribosomal RNA is filed under the name uncultured bacterium. Its description in RNAcentral is "bacterial SSU rRNA". It matches the Rfam family "Bacterial small subunit ribosomal RNA", at positions 30 to 516 of the family's 1533-position model. The record is from RNAcentral.
AUUGAACGCUGGCGGCAUGCCUUACACAUGCAAGUCGAACGGUAACAGGUCUUCGGAUGCUGACGAGUGGCGAACGGGUGAGUAAUACAUCGGAACGUGCCCGAUCGUGGGGGAUAACGCAGCGAAAGCUGUGCUAAUACCGCAUACGAUCUACGGAUGAAAGCGGGGGAUCGCAAGACCUCGCGCGGACGGAGCGGCCGAUGGCAGAUUAGGUAGUUGGUGGGAUAAAAGCUUACCAAGCCGACGAUCUGUAGCUGGUCUGAGAGGACGACCAGCCACACUGGGACUGAGACACGGCCCAGACUCCUACGGGAGGCAGCAGUGGGAAUUUGGACAAUGGGCGCAAGCCUGAUCCAGCCAUGCCGCGUGCAGGAUGAAGGCCUUCGGGUUGUAAACUGCUUUGUACGGAACGAAAAAGCUCUCUCUAAUACAGGGGUGAAUGACGGUACCGUAAGAAUAAGCACCGGCUAACUACGUGCCAGCACGG